UAUAUAAAUAAAUAAAUAAAUAUUUGAUUAAAAGAAAAUAAUACAACAUUGGUAAGAGAACCCAUAAGUCAUGGGGUACAGUGCAACAUAUGAUAACAAAGUUCAAUAAGCAUCAAUUGAAGAGGAUGCCGGUUGAUAUUCAACAAGAACAAAUUAAAUACAAUGUAGAUAAUAAAGAGAUGUAACCAGCUGACAACUUAACAUAGUGAUGUGUCUAAUUGGAUCUUAAACCGGGGGCUUAAUGAUGUGUCUAAUUGGAUCUUAAACCCGAUUGGUCCAUUAAAGGCCCAAUUAAGGGAAAACUCCAAUUAGAGCACCACUUCUAUAAUUUUCUCCCACAUUGAAUCUCUACAAGAAGUUUCACACUUCUACACUUGUCCCACAUCGAAAGUUUACAAGAAACUAAUAGUCAAGUCCUACUAUAAAGACAAGGUAUGAUUCAUUUGUUGAGGUAUCUCUAAUUUGGGUGAUAUUUUAGCCUUUGCAAAGUAUCACUUCCAAUACCUGACUUGAGCGUCGGAGUGUAAUCGCCGGGGCCACCCCGGCGAGUCACUUAGUGUCUUGAUUUGUUUUGUAGGUUAUUCGGCGGGCCCACACCUUUGACCCCUUUGGACACGUGGCAAGGACCCUCGGCAUUUCCGAUAUUGGGCUUGAAGAUUCCCGGACUUAAGAGACCAGUGGGCUUCAAGACCAUUGGGCUGACCCACCAUUUUGGAGCAGCAUCAUUUUGGCGCCGUCUGUGGGAAUGCGUACCAGAUCACGUGGCAUGGAAGAAGGUGGUCGAAGGACGGAUGGAUUCCCUCCCCAAGAAGGCCCCGAGAUCCCGGAUCCCUCCCGAAGGGCACGGAUGACGGGAGCUACAAACCAACCAGGAGGGCCCCCGCCAGUCUUGCAGAUGAGGACGGAAGAAUGGGAAGCCUUGAUAGACCAAGUGGCAACGAAGGCAGCAGCGGCGGCAGUGGCGCAUUACCUAGUCACCCAAGGUGUAGUCCCAGAAGAAGAACCGAGCCCGGUAGCCGGUGACCUGUUGGGGCCUCACCCAAACCACCCCGCCUCACCUAUCGUGGAGCCUUACCAUUCGGAGGAAAGAGUGUCAUUGGGAGACCGAAACUUUCCCUCAACAUCUGCUAGGAAUGCCCAACGGCGGACGCCUCACCUUAGCCUUUUGCCGGAGCAAGUGCCUCGAAGGAACAAUCGCCGUUGGUCGCCACCAUUUAAUGUCACCGUAGAUUACUCUCUUCAAAGGGGCGACCAUCAACGUAGAGCACACUCAAGGGGACAAAAGGAGCGUAUGCGUCGAGAGGAGAAAGGCGAAAAGAGACGCCACCAUCCCAACCACCGUGGAGGCCCUGAUCAAGGCGAAGACGGUAGCAGAAUGUCCCAACACAAAGAGAGAAGCCGACGUCGCACAAGGGUUGACGACGACGAUGCAAGAAGCCGACGGACGAAGGCAAAAGAGUCGGCGUCCCUUGCCCUGGUGAAAGCGCUUCCGACAAGAGUAAGCCCAUUUACCCCGGCCAUUCUAAAAGAAGUCCUGCCCUUCGGGUUUCGGAUCCCCGAUCUUCCACAGUUCGACGGAACCGCAGAUCCCCAAGACCAUAUAAAUAACUUUUAUGCCAAGGUCGAUCUUUACGGCCUCACGGAUGCGGCAUACUGCAAGAUCUUUCAAACUACCAUGAGUGGCCAAACGCUAGGUUGGUUCAACAAAUUGCCAGGUGGGACUAUCGACGGAUGGUCGCAGUUAGUGGAACAAUUCCUUAGCCAAUAUUCCAUCAACAAGAAGUACGCCAAGACCGGAACCUACCUUUUCAAAGUCGUCCAGCAAGAAAACGAGGCGCUCAGAGAUUAUAUGCAACAGUUCUUUAGCACGGUGCAUGAAGUAUGCCACGUAAACCACGAGUUCUUGGCGGGGAUCUUGAUGAGCAACUUGAGGCAUGAACGGUUUCGAGAGUCCCUUGCGGGCCGACCCCCCUCGACACUGGAUGAGCUCAUCGGUCGGGCCGAGAAGUACAUUCGCAUUGAGGAGGUUGCGGAGAUGGGUUUGCCCGCGAGGGGAAAGCACGAGGAGAAGCACCCCGAGACGAGAGAGAGACAAGAAAUGCGCCCAACGCUCACCUAACCUAACGCUCACGCCGCAUAGCCAUCAAAAGGAUAGCGCCACAACACAUGGAUAGGCACUAAGGGCCAAAAACUUGAAGAUCUUAAGAGCUUUCAAAAACAAGGCAGGGGCAUGUAGCUCACCGCAAUAUAUUAUGUACUGUCAGCUACAAUGAUACUUGAAUGUUUUAAUCAGGGACAUACUUCCCGCCGAACCUUUAUCUAAUUACUCAUUAUUUGUAUGUAUCUGCCGAUCACUUUCGUUACCUUUCAACCCACUACUCGUAAAACUACAAUUUACAUACGUGAUAACAUAUCGAAAUUGAAAUUUCGUUCCCUGAAACACCAAGAGAAAAUAAAAAGACGGACUUCCCACAAGGCAAAAAGCCAAGGGAUACCGCCUUUCUUAAAAAGAUGAAGCAUAGCUCACCCUUCACGAAUGUUGGACUUCCCAAUAGGCAAAAAGCCAAGGGAUACCACAUCGCCUUAAAAGAUAAAGCUUAGCUUAUACUUUGCGAGAGUCGGACUUCCCAAUAGGCAAAAAGCCAAGGGAUACGGCGUCGCCUUAAAAAAUAAAGUUAACUCAUUCUUCGCGAAAAGUGCACUUCCCACUAGGCAAAAAGCCAAGGGAUACCGCCUUUCUUAAAAAGAUGAAGCAUACCUCACCCUUCACGAAUGUCGGACUUCCCAAUAGGCAAAAAGCCAAGGGAUGCCACGUCGCCUUAAAAGAUAAAGCUUAGCUUAUACUUUGCGAGAGUCGGACUUCUCAAUAGGCAAAAAGCCAAGGGAUACCACAUCGCCUUAAAAGAUAAAGCUUAGCUUAUACUUUGCGAGAGUCGGACUUCCCAAUAGGCAAAAAGCCAAGGGAUACGGCGUCGCCUUAAAAAAUAAAGUUAACUCAUUCUUCGCGAAAAGUGCACUUCCCACUAGGCUAAGCCAAGGGGUACUGCCUUGCUUAAAAAGAUAAAGCGUAACUCAUCCUUUACGAAAGUCGGACUUCCCACCAGGCAAUAACCAUGAGAUAUCGUCUUACCCAAAAAAGACAGAGUAUAACUCAUUACUUGCGAGAGAAGGACUUCUUGCCAUUGAUAUUUUUGGAAAGAAAGUCGGCCAUUGGCGUAACGGCCGGCAAAAAAAAAAAAAAAAAAAAAAAAAGGGUAGAGAUAAAGAGAUACGAGAGGAGUUGGUGUCUAAACACUCCAUUAAUACCAACCGACCCUCUCCGCCCCAAAUCUUUUCCCAUGGGCCAUCUUCCAAGCUAGAAUCCAUGUCGGCCUCCGGAGCCGUACAAAACACGGCAAAUGUUGUCUAAGUCUUUCCAAAACUCACCCCCAACGCCGCCGGAGCCGUACAAAAGACGGGAGAAUUUUGUCCAAGUCCAUCCCAAUUACCCGACGGCUCGCUCAUACGGUUUGAUGUCGGCCAGAGCCGCAAACUCGGGUCGGCCGUCGCCCCGUUUACCCGGAUCCCAACCCGACAACCCCCGACCCGCCGGCUCCCGGCCCGUCAACUCCCAACCCGUCGGCUCCCGGCCCGUCGGCUCCCAACCCGACGGCUUCCGGCCGACUACGUCGCGACCCGGCAUCCCCCGGCCCGCUGGCUCCCCACCCGGCAUCCCUCGAUCCGCCGACUAUGUCGCGACCCGGAGGUCCUCGACCCGACGGCUUUCGGCCCAUUACAUCGCGACCCGAAGGUCCUCGACCCGACGGCUUCCGGCCGACUACGUCGCGACCCGGAGGUCCUCGACCCGACGGCUUUCGGCCCAUUACAUCGCGACCCGAAGGUCCUCGACCCGACGGCUUCCGGCCGACUACGUCGCGACCUGGAGGUCCUCAACCCGACGGCUUUCGGCCCAUUACAUCGCGACCCGGAGGUCCUCGACCUGACGGCUUCCGGCCGACUACGUCGCGACCCUAAGGUCCUCAACCCGACGGCUUCUGGUCCACUACGCCACGACCCGGAAGUUCUCGACCCGACGGCUUCUGGCUCACUACGUCGCGACCCGGAGGUUCUCAACCGAACGGCUUCCGGCCCACUACCUCGCGACCCGGAGGUUCUCGACCCGACGGCUCCCGGCCUACCAAGGUUGAACGCGACGGCUCCUGGCUAGCCAAGCUCGGACCCGACUCAAGAGUCUUCCCGAGGGCACCCAACCGGCCACUUCGUCAUCCCCACCGCCCAACCACCACUCACUUUCAUAGCGCCACCACUCCUCAAAGCGCGCGUACGAGAAGCGGACAAAUUUCGUCCUAAUACGCCCAAGAAAACCCCAUGCCCUCCGGAUCACCCGCCGUAGCGCAAAUAGCCCAACUCUGGAGGUCACGGAGCAACAACUCCAAACUCCUACUUAUCUACUACUCCCAAGCCGGCCCACGGACCGUGGCCCAAUUUGGGAGUGGGGGGCUUAAUGAUGUGUCUAAUUGGAUCUUAAACCGGGGGGCUUAAUGAUGUGUCUAAUUGGAUCUUAAACCCGAUUGGUCCAUUAAAGGCCCAAUUAAGGGAAAACUCCAAUUAGAGCACCACUUCUAUAAUUUUCUCCCACAUUGAAUCUCUACAAGAAGUUUCACACUUCUACACUUGUCCCACAUCGAAAGUUUACAAGAAACUAAUAGUCAAGUCCUACUAUAAAGACAAGGUAUGAUUCAUUUGUUGAGGUAUCUCUAAUUUGGGUGAUAUUUUAGCCUUUGCAAAGUAUCACUUCCAAUACCUGACUUGAGCGUCGGAGUGUAAUCGCCGGGGCCACCCCGGCGAGUCACUUAGUGUCUUGAUUUGUUUUGUAGGUUAUUCGGCGGGCCCACACCUUUGACCCCUUUGGACACGUGGCAAGGACCCUCGGCAUUUCCGAUAUUGGGCUUGAAGAUUCCCGGACUUAAGAGACCAGUGGGCUUCAAGACCAUUGGGCUGACCCACCAUUUUGGAGCAGCAUCACAUAGUCAUAGCAGUAGAUUUCAGCAAGCACGGUGUCGCUGUUUGCUGGUCUCUCUCUCAAUAUAUAAUAUAAUAUAUAUAUAU
Molecule: long non-coding RNA, 5109 nt
Filed under: Erythranthe guttata (spotted monkey flower)
Lineage: Eukaryota; Viridiplantae; Streptophyta; Magnoliopsida; Lamiales; Phrymaceae
Description: long non-coding RNA (EGUT_LNC003171)
Source: RNAcentral